Molecule: long non-coding RNA, 9269 nt
Filed under: Prunus persica (peach)
Lineage: Eukaryota; Viridiplantae; Streptophyta; Magnoliopsida; Rosales; Rosaceae
Description: long non-coding RNA (PPER_LNC005392)
Source: RNAcentral
AGCAGCUUCAACAUCAGCAAGGCCUUGGAUGAGACUGCAGCAAGGCGCUACAGGAGGUUUACCAAUGGUGAUGUUAAGCAACCCAUUGAGAACAUUAGCACAAACCCCUAAUUUGAGGGUAUCUCUAGGGCAUCUGGUACCUGUGGAAGGUGUGGAAGGUGUAGAAGGUGUGGAAGGGGUGGGGCUUGGCCUUGGGUUUGGCCUUGGUCUAGGGUUAGGACCGGGGCACGUGCCGCAAGAACUUACAAGAGCAAAGAAGAGGAGAUUGAGUGCAAGGAAGAGACUAAGGGAGGCAGUUGUUUUGGAAGCCAUUUCUGAUCAAACCCUAGAAGUGUUUUUCUUUUUCUUUUUUCAGUUUUUGUACUUGAAGUUAGCACACUAGUAGAACUAAUAGAACUUACAAGUAUAUGUGAGAGUGUGAAGAAUUAAGGUCCAGUGGAGUGCGGUUUUAUAGGGUUAAAAAACGGUGAGGUGUUCAACUUGAUGCUAAUAGAAAAUUAAACAAAUAAAUUAAACAAAUAAUCUGAGCUAGCUGAUCCCAUGUGUAUUCUUGUGAUUGUAGCUGGCAAGGCAAGCAAAUUAAAGGCAAACUUUUGUAUUUUUGUGUGGUGGGGGCUGCCAAAUUGCCAGGCUCCUUGUCUUGGCACAAAUCUGUGGAUGCAUAUCUCAUCAUGCACUGUUCUUGAUACCUCAAUUCCAGAGAAUUAUAUGGCAUCAAGAUUUUCGGGUUUGAACCUUUGAUCAAGGGACAAUGGUGGGACUGAAAAAAUCACAAUGUUUUAGUUACGUUAAAAACUUUGUCCUAGAAUUAAUGUUCAAAUAGUUAGAUCAACUAGUUUUUGGUCUAGUGGUAUUUUCACAGAAUGUCAGGACCUCGAAUAUAAAGAUAAACUGCUCUUCAUCACUUGAACUACAAGCCCAUUACUAAAGAUUUACUAAUCAAAUAUUUCAAAUUUUACUAGUAUUGAAUUAAGGUUGUGUUUGAAUCAAGUAUUUGUUACCUCCAAGAAAUUCAAAAAGAUGGAUGAGAUUUUGUGAAUAUGGAAUUUAUUAAAGUCAGGAAUUUGUAAAGCAAGCGGGUCAUACGUCUCAUGUCCAGCCUCUGAUCCAGGAGCUAAGGCCCAUGUCCAACUUUGAGAUGACUCGUGUUUUGGCAGUAGGUGCCAGUUUUAAGUCUGCGGCGCCCACUCCUAAAUUUGAGACUCCCGUCCCUUUUUCUUGGUCGUAAUUCCUAAAUAAGUGCAUGGAGAUCACAACAUUAAUGUUUUUUUUUUUAAUGCUAUAAUUUUGAAUUUGAGUUAAUAUAAAGGUCAUAUUUUAUAUUUCGCGAGGGCCUCUAGAAUUUUUUGAAAUCUCCUUUUCAGUUAUAAAAAUUUCAGGCAAAAUAACGUGUAUCAUAAAAGAUACACACAGAUUUUUUUUUUUAAACACUGCUUAUGUGGGAUCUGGGAUUACUGCAGCUUUCCUCUUUUGGUUCUGGGAAUUAUUUGAAAAAAAAAAGAAAGUGGUAUUUGAUUCCCAUAAUCAUAAGUUCCAUAAUUUUAUUUUGCAAACAGGACUUCAACUCUAUUCACUAAUAGAUCACCAUGCAAAUUAGGCACGAAGAAAAAAUUCGCAAUUUCACUCGCACAUUACACGCAAUUAUAUGAUACUUGCAUAACAAGAAAAAACGGUGUAAGAUCAGAGAAAUGAAUAAUAUCUGUUAGUUUUAUAAGGCAUAUUGGAAUCCAUCUGGAACUUUUAUCUCCACAAGCACUAAGAAGCAAGCUGAUAGCAACGGGGAUGUUGAGGUUGAUGCCCAAAAUUCUGGCUUUGAUGGCAGUGCAGAGGCACACAGCAGCCUCGAGGUCUAGGAGGUGGAACUAGACCAAUGUCUAGGAGGUGGAACUCGACGUCUGCACAAACCCCUAAUUUCAGGGCAUCCCUAGGGCAGGCCUAGGCAACUCUAUUAGGGGCAGGGUUAGGGUUUGCAUUGACAAGGGAAAAGAAAAGGAGAUUGAGAGCGAGGAGUGAGGCAGUGGUUUUUGAAGCCAUCUCUCAAACCCUAAAUCUUGUGUGCUAUUGUACUUAGUACUUACUGUAAUUACUGGUACUCGUAGAAGAAUAUAUGUAGUGGUGACUGGUGAGGGCUUAAUGUCUAGACAGAUUGGACAUUUAUAGGUGUAAUAACUUGAUGUUAACAGAAAAUACAGCAAAAUAAAAUUAAUGAUCCGAGUUUCCAUGUCUGCUUAUGGUUUUCCUUUUUUUCUGGCAGAAUAAGUAGAUGUAAAUCCAAAAUGUUUAUGGCUCUGCAAAUUGCCGUGUUCCUUUUUUUUGGCAUCAAUAAGUACGUUGGUCAUAUAACUUAUGGGGUACUUAGGAGUCAAGUGUAGCCUUCUGGCCGUUUGUGGCUAGGUAGUGUCAGUUCUCACGAUCUCUGGCCAUUUUCGUUGGUUUUGGCAUAUCACGAAGUUUUGUCGACAUUGCCGCCAAACCAAAAAUCUUAAGAUUAAUUUCAUACGCACCUGCCUGCAUAUGAAGCUCAUCAUCAGAUUUUCAGUCCCAGAUUAGCGCCUAUAAACUCAUCACUAGUACUAGUUUCAUACAACCAUUUUAUUUAAACGAGUUAGGACAUCAUGGUACGUUUAUGAAACUUUCUUCUUUAUUACGUGUUAUAUGCGACUAUGUAUUUCUUUCUCCCUUAUCAUGUGACAUUACACGUGAUGAGUAAAAUAGACACAUAAUUGUACACAACUACAUGAGAAAUUAAACAAAUUUUAUAACUCGUUCUUUCAAAUCGUGAAAGAAACACACAUAUAUAUUUGAGAGGUGGUUAAUAUAUAUUUGAAAGGUACGUAGAAGAAAACUAUAAGACAUGUGUAAUUAUUUUAGUCUCGCGUGAAGUGUGCAUGAUUCUUGGCAGAUUCGUGGUGGAAGGAAGUAUCACGGACAGUACAUCUCUAGAAGAAGGCUGGACCUACAAUGGGCUCCACCAGAGCUUCAAUAUUUGAAAAUAUGUGUGAUCGCUUCCAAAUUAAAACCCAAGUUUGUCUUUCCAUUCACACGUUGCAGAGAAAUUUCCGAUGAUUCGAUCGGUAUUAAGUCAAGUGUGUAUCUUGGGAUUAGCCAGUGAUAUGAUGUUUAUUAAUCGAUUUUAUUUUUGUGGCAAGAUGUCUUUUGGAAGUCUCCAAAAGUUUAUAGAUAUGGAGAAUAAUUGCUUUCCUUGCGGCCGAGAUCGACAGUUUUGUCUCCAUAUGCGUUCUUAGCUUCCCAAAGUUUGUAGGCCUCUCGUGAUCGACAAAUAUGCUGCACUAAGUUCUGGGAAAACAUUAAAUCCUAUGAAAAGGCCCCCUGGCCUGAAACUCCCCUACCCCUCCCCCCACCAAGCAAAACCAGCCCUGGCUGCUUGUGGGCUCCAUCAAACCAGGCAAGAUCAGUUCGAGCUGCAGCUUAAAAGCGUUGAUGCCAACGAAUAAAUUAAGUUUUUUUAAUGUUGACGCGUGCGCCGCAAGGCACGUAUGCGUCCUGCUUAGUGAAAUCUUUAGCAACAAUUGAAAAAAAAUAAUUGAAAAAAAUUCAGAUAUUUUUUUUUAAUACCUAACAUUGUUCUUCACUUUCCACACCAAAACUUCAUACAAAUUCCUCUCCUCAUAUCAUAAGUAUAAAUAAAAUUAAUCUUGUGAUAAUAUUUUAUUCCCAUGAUGAUAGGUUACACAAUUUUAUGAGUAAAUAUUAGAGGGACCUUAACCUUAUUUACUAAUUAAUCACCAUGCAAAUGACGCACGAAUAAAAUUCCACUUUCAUCCUCGCAUCACACACAACUAUUAUUUGACACUUGCAUGCAUGCAUGCAUGCAUGAUGCAUAACAAGAAACACCGCAUGAGAUCAAAGAAAGAAACGAUAUUUGUACGUAGUUUUAUGAGGAACAUUGGAACCCAUCUGGAAGCUUAUCUCCACAAGCACUAAGAAGCAAGCUGAGAGCAACGGGAAUGUUGAGGUUGAUGCCCAAAAUUCUGGCGUUAAUGGAAGUGCAAAGGCACACAGCAGCCUCGAGGUCUACAAGGCCAAGGAGGAUAGUGCAGCAAGGUCUCACUGGAACUUGACCAACAUUAACGUUAACCAACCCACUGAGCACGUUAGCUCAAACCCCUAAUUUCAGGGCAUCCCUAGGGCAGGCAACUCUAUUAGGGGCAGGGCUAGGGUUGUUGGCAUUGACAAGGGAAAAGAAAAGGAGGUUGACAGCCAGGAAGAGAGCAAGUGCAGGUCUUUUUGAAGCCAUCUCUCAAACCCCAAAUAUUUUGUUUUACUUGCGGUAAGUACUUGUAGAAGAAUAAAUCUGAUUAGGGUGGUGAGGAUUUAAUGUCUAGAGAAGGUGGACAUUUAUAGGCGUGUAACAACUUGAUUGUAAAGCCAAAGGUUUGUUGUUUUUGCCCAUUUUAGACUCUGGAAAUUGCCAACUUCCUUGUUUUGGCAUCAAGAAGUACGUGGAUGCAUAUGGAAUACUACAUUGUUCUUAAAUAGAUAGCUCAAUUCCAGUGAAUUUAGGGCAUCAAGAUUUAUUGCGGUUGCAUUUGAGCCACAUUUUGUCACAUUUGAGCUUGUGAUUUGGUCUAGUGGUUUGGUCAUAUGACUUAUGGGGUGGUUAGGAGCCAAGUGUAGCUUUCGGGCUGUUUGUGGGAAGAUGGCUUUGUGGCUAGGUAUUGUCAUUUCUCACGAUGUUUGGCCAUUUUUAGGGUUGUCAUCUUCACUAGUGCAGUUUUGUCGACUUGCCGCCUAACCAAAAAUCCGAUGCUUAACUUCAUGCGUAGCUGAAAUUAGUUUCAGCUGCGUAGACUGCAUGUUAAUCAUGAGAUUUUUCUUACCGGAGGUCUAUUGACUCAUCUCUAUUUACCGGUUGUAUAGACGUAUGUGUUUUUAUCUCUUUUAUUAUGUGAUAUAACACGUGAUAUGAGAAAGAUAGACAUAUAAAUUACAUAUAUAACCCUAUGGGAAUCUCAUGCACCUAAAUUAAUUUGAAGUUACGAAGUAUAGGAAAUCAAGGUACGUAAUCCUAUAACUCAUAAUUUCAAACCGUGAAGGAAGAAAAAAAAGAGGCACUAGAAUGUAACGUAGUUUGAAAGUGUUGGUUAACCUAUGUAUGAAUAGGGAAGCCCAACCUGGUUGUACACCAGUUUAGUGUUCAAAGGUCCAGCAUUGGCAUAGACAAAAGCCCAUUAUAAAUGGAAGCCCAUACAUCCAUUAGGAAAUCCUUAAAUCGGUAAGACCGGUUGUUUGUCUAACAAGAAUUCCAUAGUGAGGGUCUUAUACACAGUCCCUAGGUAAGACCCUAUCUCUUAACAUUGGAUCAAAUUGAUUAGCCUGAUCCAACGGUUAAGAGAUAGGACCUCACUUAAAGGCCAUAUAUAAGGCCCUCACUAUAGAAUGACUCGUCGGUCUAAUGAGGAAUUGGGAGUUUUAUUAACAAUUUACUUGGGUAGAUGGACAUCCGGUAGUUUCUGAAUCUUUGAUGUAAAGAAUUACAAAAGAAAUUCUUUCAACAAAGAUAGAAAGGAUUGAUCGAGGAAAUUUGAACACUUCGCUUGCAAUAUGAUGAUCUAAUAGGUGUAUUUUUUUUUCAGAUUGAUUAUAGUUUGUCAUUGAACUGUUAUCAAAUAAAUUACUAUAGACAAACGAAUACAUUGUUUCCCAAAAAAAUAAAGAUAACCAAAUUAUCAACCGUUUUUAGAAAAGAUGGUAUUUCAUUAAAUCCAUAAGAACGUUGCAUGGUAAUAACUAGCAUGAUAACAACGGCCUCAUUAAAAACUUUCCGGAGAAAACAAAACUCCGAGGUAGGAAAGAUUACAACCCAUGCUAAUGACUAAAUAGAAGAGUCAAACAACUUAUACGAAACAAACAAUUAGAACCUAACCACAAAAUCCUUAAAACACAACCUAUCACUAAGAUGGUAUUGUCAAAUUGUUAUAAAUUAAAAUAAUAGACGAAUGAUUAACCACUAAAUGUAGGGCAUUGUUAAUCAAAUAAUUAAAUGAUCUUCAAUUUGGUUAAUUGUUUUUUUACAUGAAUAAUUCUUGAAGGAUGACAUGGAAAAUAAACUAAUCCAAUUAUCAAAAAACAUUGUAAGAUGAAAAGAAAAAGUGGAUAUAUACAAGAUCUAAUAAAUUCAGAGGAUAAACAAAAUCGUAUCUUGGAGUGUACUGGAUGAUGUUCACGGGUGUUCCUAAGAAGGCCAUUGGUCAUCUUGUGAUCCAAAAAAUAAAAAACUAAUUAAUAAUGCAUUAAAAUAACAAAUAUUGAACAUGCACCUUAGGCCUCCCAAAUUUGUUGUGGAAUCUCGAGCACUACCAGCUAAUUCUAGGCCAGCCUUGCUUCACAUGCUGCUCCUCACAGUAUGAAUAUCAGGCCAAGAAUAGGACCAUUCACAUUGCACCCUAUAAAUACCUCUUUGACAGUCUUAACCAUCGCAACAAAAGAAAAGAAAAAAAGUUUCUCAUACUUUAAUUAAUAGUACUAAAUAGUGAAGUUAGAGAGAGAGAUAUAUAUAUAUCUAUGGAUUCCAAGAGAUCUUCAACCCUUGCUCUCUUCCUCUCCAUCAACCUUCUCUUUUGUGUCCUUGCCAAUGGCUGCUACACUUGCUCUCGGCAGCCUCAUCAGCCAAUCACAGCCCCUAAAACAAACCCUAUCCCCAGCGUAGCGACGAAGAGCUGCCCUAGAGAUGCCCUAAAGUUGGGGGUUUGUGCCAAUUUGCUUAAAGGGGCAGUUGGAGCAAUAAUCGGGAACCCGCCAGAUACCCCUUGCUGUGCUUUGCUUGAAGGGCUUCUUGACCUUGAAGUUGCUAUGUGCCUUUGCACUGCCAUUAAAGCCAAUAUCCUUGGUAUCAACCUUAAUAUCCCCAUUGCUUUGAGCUUGGUCAUUGAUGGUUGCGCAAAGACAUUCCCCCCUGGCUUCCAAUGCGCAUAAGCUGUUACAUUGUUUUGAAUCUGUAUGUCUCAUGUGUGAGGCAAAACUUUGUAGCUUGAUUUCUUUCUUUGUGUUUGGCUAGAGGUUAUUUUUCAUGUGCCAAUUGUUCAAUGACACUUUUAUUGAGUUUACACACUUCCCAUUGUAAUUCCCUAAUGGCAUGCAUCAACUUGAAAUUGACUUCAAUGUAUUAUGUUGAAUUUGAUCUCUCUCUCUCUCUCGCUCUCUCUCACACACACACACAUAUACAUGUGGAUAUAUUGAUAUGCCCCAAAAAAAAUCAAAGUAUAAAGAUAGUAACUAAUGCAAGGAUGCUGUCUUACGUACGGCUGAAUGGAACAAUGGGUAUGGUGUGUGAACUAACCUAUUUAGAGAUGAUUACCUAAUUAAGAUCCAUCGAAGUUUGGGUUAAUUUUGCAACAGAAAUAACGAGAUUGACCCCUAUGCUAGCUAGAUGAUGUGUAUAUAUCCAUUCAAACAAUACAUCAUAUUUGAAACUACAUUUUGUAGGUUAUAAUACAUUGGUGCACUGAAAGGGAAUAAGGCCUAUAUCGGCUAGCUAGGCGAUGUUCCGAAAUCAUUUUUUUAAAUAUUUUAUUUUCUAUAAGAUUAUAAUUAUGUCGUCAUAAGUAAAUUAGGGCCGGAGCCACUCAUGGGCUUCCAGUGGCCUUAGCCCUCCGAAAAGUUUCAAACACAUAUACAAUAAUAUGAAAUUUGUUAUGUAAAAUCAAUUUUAUUAAAGCUUUUCUUUAUAUAUUGGCCCCAAACUUAAAAUCCUAGCUCUUUCCUUUGGAUGUAGCACAUGUCAAAUAUAAUAACACGAUAUAUACAACCAUUAAAUUUAAACAAAAAGGCUAAAACUAAACAAAAUUGAAGUGUUUAGUAGAAAAUAAUAAAUUUCCACUUCCAAAACUUGAGCAACCCGUGAAUAUCCAAUCCAACCCCCAAUCAUUCCUUCUUCCUCAGUAUUUGGGUUUCGCUGGUUUUGUUUUGGUGGUUUUGGUGGCUCAAUUAGUGGUUCUUAGCUCUUCCACGUCUCAAUCAAUGGGUGCAACUUGCAUCCACCGGUUUCGAACAACUAAUAAUGAGGAUGUUUAGGGCAACUUGCAGUUCAUGUGUGGUACAAUUUGGCAUUAAAAGAGAUAAAAAAAGGCAAGAAGACGACAAGAAUUCUCUGCAUGAUGUAGGAAGGGAGGUGGUGAUUACAGAGAAAAGUUUAAUCUAAAGCUAAUGUGAACUUGCUGACUCUUGUACUCAUAUUGGAAAUGCUUUCAUAUCAUAUUGAUAUAUAGUUUUAUGUUGUAGUUGUCGAGAGAGAGAGAAAGAGAGGUGGCACGUGCGAACCUGUAAAGAAGAGCAUUUCUAUAACGAGUUGGAAUCUACACACAGUAUGUAUUUGUAAUCCAACCACGGGCAAGUUUAGAGAAUAAGUUCCAAACUGACAAAUUUGCAAAAUUCACAAAGAUAGGAAACCACAGUAUUUUAUUUGUAAUGCACAGUAUUUUAUGCCUAUAAUGAGUUUAUCAAUGUAGUUGCUCUUUUUUUUUUUUUUGUCGUCGUAGUCGUGGAAGAGAUGCUUUAUUAAAAAAUAAUAAGUAUUAUUGGAUUAGAUUGGAUUAAUCUUUCUACAUUAUAUUUGACUUAUAGGGAUAUGAUUGGAUUUUAAGAAGUUGUUUGGUGCAAUACAACACCAAAGUUGAGAUUAGUAUGCUUUUUUAUAUAUUUUUUUAUAUUCUCAUUUCCAAAUUAAUUACAACAAAAUCAAUAUUUUUAUAUAUUUUUUUUAUUCUCAUACCUCCCUUCAUAUCUCAAGAAAAAAAAUAGCCACAAAAUUGCAAAAUUAAAAAUAUAUAUAAAGAGGAAGAAGAUAUGAAUCUGCCUUUCAUCAAUUUUUUCUUCCACCAUAUGCCUUUCGUCCAAGAUCUGAGGUCUAGAUAUGGCAGUGGAAAAGAGAUGGCAGAGGGGAAGAGAGAGAGAGAGGAUCUGAGAUAAGAGAGAAGAGGAGAAGAGAAGAGGGGAAGAGAGAACAGAGAAGUGAGAGAGGAGAGAGAAGAGAGCAUAAAGAAGAAAGAGAAGAAGAGAAGAGAAGAGAGAGAAGAAGAGAGAUGGCUAGAGGUGUGCUCUCUGGCUUCAAAAUCCACGUAUGGAGUUGGGUUUCUAAGCCCCAAUUAUUUGGGACUUGGAUCCAAGGCUCAUAUCCAGUCUAGACACACUUUAAGCCCACCAAACAAUGGUUAGGACUCAUGUCCAUUUUAAUUGAAAAUAUCCAGUCUAGUCUAGUCUACCAAACGGGGCCUAAGAGCAUGUCUAAGGGGCAAGAGGCAAGGGAUUUG